Long non-coding RNA from Engraulis encrasicolus (European anchovy), 2129 nucleotides. RefSeq lists it as uncharacterized. The record is from RefSeq and is a predicted model, not a curated record. Lineage: Eukaryota; Metazoa; Chordata; Actinopteri; Clupeiformes; Engraulidae. The transcript has 4 exons.
AAAGUUCGCCACAAAGUGAUCACGAAAUGAUCUCCGUAUUAAUAACAGUUUCGUGGUUUGUUACUCGUUUGAAUAAACGUAUAGUUUUGACAUCCCUUUCAAAUGACACGCGGAAGUUUUGAAUAUUUGUUGUACCACGAGCUAUCACGAAAUUAUGCUGGGCCAAAAGGUGUUUAUACAGUAGUUUCUUCCUGUGCUGCGUUGUGCACGUCUGUUUCAUCAUCUGAGCUAUCAGUUGUGUUUCUUUGAAGCAAAGAUGUAUAGAAUAGCACUGAAAGUCGGAGGUGUCAUAUUUGUUCAACCUGGUGUUAAACGUAAUUUCAAUUCUUGACCAGUGCAUGUAAAGAAAUUGAAAAUAAAACCGACUUGACUUGUCAUUGGGUCUGAUUUUAAAUGUGCCAUAUAGUUCAAUGUGGGAGCAGGUUCACACACUAAAUAAGACACUAAGGUCAAGCACAAGCAGAUUAAAAAAAAAUAAAAAAUUCUCAGAGCAGAUUAGAGCAGACGUUUCAGGUUGCUGCCAUCAGAGAGUAUUGACUUGACCUUAGUGUCUUUAGUGUGCUCCCACAUUGAGCUCUACUUUUUGGGUCCAUGCACCUACUUAUUUCUAAACAUCUAGAGCGCAACAAUACCCCUGCCUCCUGAUAUGCCAUAUAACCUGUAUCUCUCCAAGUGUGUGUGUGUGUGUGAGAGAGAAUGUGUGCACGCAGAUAUAAGAAGUUGGGGUUGAUGAUCCACAUGAUGGUGAUGGACCAGGACAGCUCUGGACCUCCUGACUGGCAGCUCCAUCCUCAACCUCUCUUCCUGCCCUUCACACAUGUGCAGGCAGCCAGUUUUCUGAAAGAUGGUUGAUGUCAGUACCAACAUGUUGUGAUGGAGGCUUCCACCUGAGCUGAACACAGAAACUUGCACACAGUGUUGGAAGCAGUCGUUCCUGCUCAGCAUCGAUAUGCCAGUAAUGGGUUUGAUGAGCCACAGCAUGGUGAUGGGCAAUCAGCAUCAGGACCAGGGCAGCUCACAAGGAGAACCUCCUGCCCUGCCUCGUCAUCCUCAACCUCCCAUCUCCCUGCUCUUCACACAUGUGCAGGCACGGAGCCAGUUUUCAGAGGGAGGGCUGAUGACACCAGCAACUUUGGUGAACCUGAUCAACCCAGCACCAACCACUGUGCCCCUCCUCCUCUGCCAACUGCACCACAUGGCUCCACCAUCUCAAAAAGGCACAGACACUACUCCUACUACUUCCUGCGAAGGAUGAGAGAAGAGCCGACCGCCCCACAUCGGCACUCACCACCUUCUACAGGGGUGUCAUUGAGAGCAUCCUGACCAGCAGCCUCUCUGUCUGGCAUGGCAGCCGUCAAGCUGAAGACUAGAAGGCAGUACAGAGAGUGUGGUGAGAACGGCAGAAAAGCUCAUAAGAUCACCCCUACCAGCCAUUCAGGAUCUGUACACUUCACACUGUUCCAAGAGGGCAAUGAACAUCAUAAAGACACAACUCAUCCAGCAUACAGACUGUUCUCCCUACUACACAAGCACACUGGGAAACGGCUUCUUUCCACAAGCCAUCAGACUCCUCAACGCACUGAAGAAAACCACAUGAAUAUUCCAAGGACACUGGAGAAUAUUCCAUGAACACUUCUUUCACCAUGCCACUUACACUUUACUCAUUGCUCCUUAUAUACAGCAUCUUCACAUCACCUGUAUGAUCUCCUCCUGCCGUGUGUGUGUGUGUGUGUGUGUGUGUGUGUGUGUGUGUGUGUGUGUGUGUGUGUGUGUGUCCACUGUGUUUGUGUAUUUAUUGUCCAUCAGUAUGUUAAUCUUCUUAUUGCACACUGUUUGUGUCUCUGUGUGACUGUAUUUAUUGUAUGUAUCAGUCUGUAUUUCAUGCCAAUGCAUUAUUUUUAGUUAUUAGUUAAACUGCACAUUGGAGACUGGUCAAACACAAUUUCAAACUUUGUGUUAACCCUCCAUAGAUUUUUAUUUAAAAAAUGGAGUCUAAUCUACUGUACUACACAGGCUAUCAACAGACCACACAGUUGAGUGCUGUUUUAUGCACUCUGAAUAUGAGAAGGAGAGGUAACCGUUCACACUUCAUAGUGUAAAAGUAAACAGAAAUAAAUUUUCACAUUUCA